UGGGGAAUUUUGCGCAAUGGGCUAACGCCUGACGCAGCAACGCCGCGUGGAAGAUGAAGGUCUUUGGAUUGUAAACUCCUGUCAGCAGGGAAAAAGGGAGUCGACCUAAUACGUCGGUGACUUGAUUGUACCUGCAGAGGAAGCCCCGGCUAACUCUGUGCCAGCAGCCGCGGUAAUACAGAGGGGGCAAGCGUUAUUCGGAAUUAUUGGGCGUAAAGGGCGCGUAGGCGGCCUUAUAAGUCUUGUGUGAAAGCCCUCGGCUUAACUGAGGAUCUGCACGGGAUACUGUAAGGCUCGAGUUCGGGAGAGGAAAGCGGAAUUCCGGGUGUAGCGGUGAAAUGCGUAGAUAUCCGGAGGAACACCAGUGGCGAAGGCGGCUUUCUGGACCGACACUGACGCUGAGGCGCGAAAGCUAGGGGAGCAAA
Molecule: ribosomal RNA, 425 nt
Filed under: uncultured bacterium
Lineage: Bacteria
Description: bacterial SSU rRNA
Rfam family: Bacterial small subunit ribosomal RNA
Source: RNAcentral